Molecule: ribosomal RNA, 1157 nt
Filed under: Escherichia coli
Lineage: Bacteria; Pseudomonadati; Pseudomonadota; Gammaproteobacteria; Enterobacterales; Enterobacteriaceae
Description: partial 23S ribosomal RNA
Rfam family: Bacterial large subunit ribosomal RNA
Source: RNAcentral
GGGUUGUGAGGUUAAGCGACUAAGCGUACACGGUGGAUGCCCUGGCAGUCAGAGGCGAUGAAGGACGUGCUAAUCUGCGAUAAGCGUCGGUGAGGUGAUAUGAACCGUUAUAACCGGCGAUUUCCGAAUGGGGAAACCCAGUGUGUUUCGACACACUAUCAUUAACUGAAUCCAUAGGUUAAUGAGGCGAACCGGGGGAACUGAAACAUCUAAGUACCCCGAGGAAAAGAAAUCAACCGAGAUUCCCCCAGUAGCGGCGAGCGAACGGGGAGCAGCCCAGAGCCUGAAUCAGUGUGUGUGUUAGUGGAAGCGUCUGGAAAGGCGCGCGAUACAGGGUGACAGCCCCGUACACAAAAAUGCACAUGCUGUGAGCUCGAUGAGUAGGGCGGGACACGUGGUAUCCUGUCUGAAUAUGGGGGGACCAUCCUCCAAGGCUAAAUACUCCUGACUGACCGAUAGUGAACCAGUACCGUGAGGGAAAGGCGAAAAGAACCCCGGCGAGGGGAGUGAAAAAGAACCUGAAACUGUGUACGUACAAGCAGUGGGAGCCUCUUUAUGGGGUGACUGCGUACCUUUUGUAUAAUGGGUCAGCGACUUAUAUUCUGUAGCAAGGUUAACCGAAUAGGGGAGCCGAAGGGAAACCGAGUCUUAACUGGGCGUUAAGUUGCAGGGUAUAGACCCGAAACCCGGUGAUCUAGCCAUGGGCAGGUUGAAGGUUGGGUAACACUAACUGGAGGACCGAACCGACUAAUGUUGAAAAAUUAGCGGAUGACUUGUGGCUGGGGGUGAAAGGCCAAUCAAACCGGGAGAUAGCUGGUUCUCCCCGAAAGCUAUUUAGGUAGCGCCUCGUGAAUUCAUCUCCGGGGGUAGAGCACUGUUUCGGCAAGGGGGUCAUCCCGACUUACCAACCCGAUGCAAACUGCGAAUACCGGAGAAUGUUAUCACGGGAGACACACGGCGGGUGCUAACGUCCGUCGUGAAGAGGGAAACAACCCAGACCGCCAGCUAAGGUCCCAAAGUCAUGGUUAAGUGGGAAACGAUGUGGGAAGGCCCAGACAGCCAGGAUGUUGGCUUAGAAGCAGCCAUCAUUUAAAGAAAGCGUAAUAGCUCACUGGUCGAGUCGGCCUGCGCGGAAGAUGUAACGGGGCUAAACCAUG